AGGAGUUUAGGUUAAACUAGACCAAGGGCCUUCAAAGCCCUAAGUAAAUAACUUUAUUUAACUCCUG
RNAcentral lists this transfer RNA (67 nucleotides) under Glaucomys volans (southern flying squirrel). RNAcentral's name for it is "tRNA-Trp". The record is from RNAcentral. Lineage: Eukaryota; Metazoa; Chordata; Mammalia; Rodentia; Sciuridae.